UACGUAGGGGGCAAGCGUUAUCCGGAUUUACUGGGUGUAAAGGGAGCGUAGACGGCAAGGCAAGUCUGAUGUGAAAACCCAGUGCUUAACCCUGGGACUGCAUUGGAAACUGUCUGGCUCGAGUGCCGGAGAGGUAAGCGGAAUUCCUAGUGUAGCGGUGAAAUGCGUAGAUAUUAGGAAGAACACCAGUGGCGAAGGCGGCUUACUGGACGGUAACUGACGUUGAGGCUCGAAAGCGUGGGGAGCAAACAGG
Molecule: ribosomal RNA, 253 nt
Filed under: Fusicatenibacter saccharivorans
Lineage: Bacteria; Bacillati; Bacillota; Clostridia; Lachnospirales; Lachnospiraceae
Description: partial 16S ribosomal RNA
Rfam family: Bacterial small subunit ribosomal RNA
Source: RNAcentral